RNAcentral lists this transfer RNA (71 nucleotides) under Cordylochernes scorpioides. RNAcentral describes it as "tRNA-Gly". The record is from RNAcentral. Lineage: Eukaryota; Metazoa; Arthropoda; Arachnida; Pseudoscorpiones; Chernetidae.
UGCAUCGGCUGGGAAUCGAACCUGGGUCACCCGCGUGGCAGGUGAGCAUUCUACCACUGAACCACCGAUGG